Molecule: ribosomal RNA, 373 nt
Filed under: uncultured bacterium
Lineage: Bacteria
Description: bacterial SSU rRNA
Rfam family: Bacterial small subunit ribosomal RNA
Source: RNAcentral
AUACGGAGGAUCCGAGCGUUAUCCGGAUUUAUUGGGUUUAAAGGGUGCGCAGGCGGGAUGUUAAGUCGGCGGUGAAAUUUUGCAGCUCAACUGUAAAAGUGCCUUCGAUACUGGCUUUCUUGAGUGUGGAUGAAGUAGGCGGAAUUUGUGGUGUAGCGGUGAAAUGCUUAGAUAUCACGAGGAACUCCGAUUGCGCAGGCAGCUUACUAAACCACUACUGACGCUCAUGCACGAAGGCGUGGGGAUCAAACAGGAUUAGAUACCCUGGUAGUCCACGCAGUAAACGAUGAUUACUAGUUGUUUGCGAUACAAUGUAAGCGACUGAGCGAAAGCGUUAAGUAAUCCACCUGGGGAGUACGUUCGCAAGAAUGAA